Molecule: unclassified non-coding RNA, 201 nt
Filed under: Celastrus racemosus
Lineage: Eukaryota; Viridiplantae; Streptophyta; Magnoliopsida; Celastrales; Celastraceae
Description: partial contains external transcribed spacer and 18S ribosomal RNA
Source: RNAcentral
GAUGGACUAGUUGGUGCUUUGCAUGUUCCUUUGUAAGCCACUGGCUUAUUUCUUGGCCCAUGCUCGGUUGCCUAACCCUCGGAUGCUGAAAAUUAAGUGGGCGAGGGGGUAGAAAACCCUUUGGAUAAGCCCGGGCCUUGCGCUCGUUGCUCGAAUCGAAAGACGUUGUGGCUCGCCUUGCAAUUCUUGAACCACGGGUUC